This 991-nucleotide ribosomal RNA is filed under the name uncultured bacterium. Its description in RNAcentral is "bacterial SSU rRNA". It matches the Rfam family "Bacterial small subunit ribosomal RNA", at positions 8 to 1034 of the family's 1533-position model. The record is from RNAcentral.
AGAGUUUGAUCCUGGCUCAGAAUAACGCUGGCGGCGCGCUUAACACAUGCAAGUCGAACGAGAAAGCCCCUUCGGGGGUGAGUACAGUGGCGAACGGGUGAGUAACACGUGGGUUACCUGCCCUUGAGUGGGGAAUAACCCCGGGAAACUGGGGCUAAUACCGCAUACGACCCUUCGGGGUGAAAGCUUUAUGCGCUCGAGGAUGGGCCCGCGGUCKAUUAGCUUGUUGGUGGGGUAAUGGCCUACCAAGGCUUCGAUCGAUAGCCGGCCUGAGAGGGCACACGGCCACACUGGCACUGAGACACGGGCCAGACUCCUACGGGAGGCAGCAGUGGGGAAUCUUGGACAAUGGGGGAAACCCUGAUCCAGCGACGCCGCGUGAUCGAUGAAGGCCUUCGGGUCGUAAAGAUCUUUCAGCGGGGACUAUGAUGAAGGUACCCGCAGAAGCAGGAGCGGCUAACUACGUGCCAGCAGCCGCGGUAAUACGUAGGCUCCAAGCGUUGUUCGGAAUUACUGGGCGUAAAGCGAGUGUAGGCGGUUCGCCAAGUCGAUUGUGAAAUCUCCCGGCUCAACUGGGAGGGUGCGGUCGAUACUGGCGAACUAGAGUACGGAAGAGGAAGGUAGAAUUCCUGGUGUAGCGGUGGAAUGCGUAGAUAUCAGGAGGAAUACCGGUGGUGAAGACGGCCUUCUGGACCGUAACUGACGCUGAGACUCGAAAGCGUGGGGAGCAAACAGGAUUAGAUACCCUGGUAGUCCACGCCCUAAACGAUGCAUACUUGGUGUGGGCUCUUCACUGAGUCCGUGCCGGAGCUAACGCGUUAAGUAUGCCGCCUGGGGAGUACGGUCGCAAGGCUGAGACUCAUAGGAAUUGACGGGGGCCCGCACAAGCGGUGGAGCAUGUGGUUAAUUCGACGCAACGCGAGGAACCUUACCUGGCUUAAACCGCAGUGGACCGCCCAGAAACUGGCGCGUUCCCUUCGGGGACCGCUGU